This 353-nucleotide unclassified non-coding RNA is filed under the name soil metagenome. Its description in RNAcentral is "partial contains 5.8S ribosomal RNA, internal transcribed spacer 2, and large subunit ribosomal RNA". The stretch from base 1 to 120 matches the Rfam family "5.8S ribosomal RNA", at positions 35 to 154 of the family's 154-position model. The record is from RNAcentral.
GAUGAAGAACGUGGCGAAAUGCGAUAAGUAAUGUGAAUUGCAGAAUUCAGUGAAUCAUCGAAUCUUUGAACGCACAUUGCGCCCGCCAGUAUUCUGGCGGGCAUGCCUGUUCGAGCGUCAUUACAACCCUCAGGCCCCCGGGCCUGGCGUUGGGGAUCGGCGGAAGCCCCCUGCGGGCACAACGCCGUCCCCCAAAUACAGUGGCGGUCCCGCCGCAGCUUCCAUUGCGUAGUAGCUAACACCUCGCAACUGGAGAGCGGCGCGGCCACGCCGUAAAACACCCAACUUCUGAAUGUUGACCUCGAAUCAGGUAGGAAUACCCGCUGAACUUAAGCAUAUCAAUAAGCGGAGGA